GACGAACGCUGGCGGCGUGCUUAACACAUGCAAGUCGAACGGAAAGGCCCUGCUUUUGUGUGGUGCUCGAGUGGCGAACGGGUGAGUAACACGUGAGUAACCUGCCCUUGACUUUGGGAUAACUUCAGGAAACUGGGGCUAAUACCCGAUAGGAGCUCCUGCUGCAUGGUGUGGGUUGGAAAGUUUCGGCGGUUGGGGAUGGACUCGCGGCUUAUCAGCUGGUUGGUGGGGUAGUGGCUUACCAAGGCUUUGACGGGUAGCCGGCCUGAGAGGGUGACCGGCCACAUGGGGACUGAGAUACGGCCCAGACUCCUACGGGAGGCAGCAGUGGGGAAUAUUGCACAAUGGGGGGAAGCGUGAUGCAGCAACGCCGCGUGCGGGAUGACGGCCUUCGGGUUGUAAACCGCUUUCGACUGUGCCGAAGCGUGAGUGACGGUAAUGGGUAAAGAAGCAACGGCUAACUACGUG
This 468-nucleotide ribosomal RNA is filed under the name uncultured bacterium. Its description in RNAcentral is "partial 16S ribosomal RNA". It matches the Rfam family "Bacterial small subunit ribosomal RNA", at positions 28 to 507 of the family's 1533-position model. The record is from RNAcentral.